RNAcentral lists this long non-coding RNA (537 nucleotides) under Mus musculus (house mouse). Its description in RNAcentral is "predicted gene, 19519". Lineage: Eukaryota; Metazoa; Chordata; Mammalia; Rodentia; Muridae. The record is from RNAcentral.
AACCUGAAGUUAACUGCCAGGGUUUCCAGUAGGAGGCAGCUCAACCUGCAUGACACAGGACACCAGCGAUAGUCAUACCAGGACCAGACUCAUAGAUGAAAUGAAGUGUCAUCAUCCAUCACUAUGAACUUCCUUCAUGAGAGAGAAAAGGGGAAAAAGUGAUCUGUGUCUAGGUGGAAAUGACCUCUGGCUCUGAGGGAAAACCCAGGAAGACCGGUUAAAGCUGUGUUUGCUCAGGAGUGAGCCUAAAAAACAAGACGCAGAAAGCACUUUGCAGAAGAAGACUGUUGAAACUGGACAGCCUUACUUCGUUCCUGAUUGCAGUGAGAAAGCACUCCAUCUGUUCUCACUGAAUGUGUUGCAAGAGACCAUUGGAAUGACAAGACAGCCAGGCUGAAGAUGCUGUCUCCGGCUAUAUCUGAUUACUCAUUUCAGAGCAUAACUAAGGAAGGAUGAGCAUCCAAGGCUUUCUGAAAUGGAAAAUGGAGUAGCUGAGUUCUGGAGCUAGCCUCAGUCUUUUAGUCUGACUGAGUAUAG